CUAUCAUUAACUGAAUCCAUAGGUUAAUGAGGCGAACCGGGGGAACUGAAACAUCUAAGUACCCCGAGGAAAAGAAAUCAACCGAGAUUCCCCCAGUAGCGGCGAGCGAACGGGGAGGAGCCCAGAGCCUGAAUCAGUGUGUGUGUUAGUGGAAGCGUCUGGAAAGGCGCGCGAUACAGGGUGACAGCCCCGUACACAAAAAUGCACAUACUGUGAGCUCGAUGAGUAGGGCGGGACACGUGGUAUCCUGUCUGAAUAUGGGGGGACCAUCCUCCAAGGCUAAAUACUCCUGACUGACCGAUAGUGAACCAGUACCGUGAGGGAAAGGCGAAAAGAACCCCGGCGAGGGGAGUGAAAAAGAACCUGAAACCGUGUACGUACAAGCAGUGGGAGCCUCUUAAUGGGGUGACUGCGUACCUUUUGUAUAAUGGGUCAGCGACUUAUAUUCUGUAGCAAGGUUAACCGAAUAGGGGAGCCGAAGGGAAACCGAGUCUUAACUGGGCGUUAAGUUGCAGGGUAUAGACCCGAAACCCGGUGAUCUAGCCAUGGGCAGGUUGAAGGUUGGGUAACACUAACUGGAGGACCGAACCGACUAAUGUUGAAAAAUUAGCGGAUGACUUGUGGCUGGGGGUGAAAGGCCAAUCAAACCGGGAGAUAGCUGGUUCUCCCCGAAAGCUAUUUAGGUAGCGCCUCGUGAAUUCAUCUCCGGGGGUAGAGCACUGUUUCGGCAAGGGGGUCAUCCCGACUUACCAACCCGAUGCAAACUGCGAAUACCGGAGAAUGUUAUCACGGGAGACACACGGCGGGUGCUAACGUCCGUCGUGAAGAGGGAAACAACCCAGACCGCCAGCUAAGGUCCCAAAGUCAUGGUUAAGUGGGAAACGAUGUGGGAAGGCCCAGACAGCCAGGAUGUUGGCUUAGAAGCAGCCAUCAUUUAAAGAAAGCGUAAUAGCUCACUGGUCGAGUCGGCCUGCGCGGAAGAUGUAACGGGGCUAAACCAUGCACCGAAGCUGCGGCAGCGACACUAUGUGUUGUUGGGUAGGGGAGCGUUCUGUAAGCCUGUGAAGGUGUACUGUGAGGUAUGCUGGAGGUAUCAGAAGUGCGAAUGCUGACAUAAGUAACGAUAAAGCGGGUGAAAAGCCCGCUCGCCGGAAGACCAAGGGUUCCUGUCCAACGUUAAUCGGGGCAGGGUGAGUCGACCCCUAAGGCGAGGCCGAAAGGCGUAGUCGAUGGGAAACAGGUUAAUAUUCCUGUACUUGGUGUUACUGCGAAGGGGGGACGGAGAAGGCUAUGUUGGCCGGGCGACGGUUGUCCCGGUUUAAGCGUGUAGGCUGGUUUUCCAGGCAAAUCCGGAAAAUCAAGGCUGAGGCGUGAUGACGAGGCACUACGGUGCUGAAGCGACAAAUGCCCUGCUUCCAGGAAAAGCCUCUAAGCAUCAGGUAACAUCAAAUCGUACCCCAAACCGACACAGGUGGUCAGGUAGAGAAUACCAAGGCGCUUGAGAGAACUCGGGUGAAGGAACUAGGCAAAAUGGUGCCGUAACUUCGGGAGAAGGCACGCUGAUAUGUAGGUGAAGCGACUUGCUCGUGGAGCUGAAAUCAGUCGAAGAUACCAGCUGGCUGCAACUGUUUAUUAAAAACACAGCACUGUGCAAACACGAAAGUGGACGUAUACGGUGUGACGCCUGCCCGGUGCCGGAAGGUUAAUUGAUGGGGUUAGCGGUAACGCGAAGCUCUUGAUCGAAGCCCCGGUAAACGGCGGCCGUAACUAUAACGGUCCUAAGGUAGCGAAAUUCCUUGUCGGGUAAGUUCCGACCUGCACGAAUGGCGUAAUGAUGGCCAGGCUGUCUCCACCCGAGACUCAGUGAAAUUGAACUCGCUGUGAAGAUGCAGUGUACCCGCGGCAAGACGGAAAGACCCCGUGAACCUUUACUAUAGCUUGACACUGAACAUUGAGCCUUGAUGUGUAGGAUAGGUGGGAGGCUUUGAAGUGUGGACGCCAGUCUGCAUGGAGCCGACCUUGAAAUACCACCCUUUAAUGUUUGAUGUUCUAACGUGGGCCCCUUACCGGGGUUGCGGACAGUGUCUGGUGGGUAGUUUGACUGGGGCGGUCUCCUCCUAAAGAGUAACGGAGGAGCACGAAGGUUGGCUAAUCCUGGUCGGACAUCAGGAGGUUAGUGCAAUGGCAUAAGCCAGCUUGACUGCGAGCGUGACGGCGCGAGCAGGUGCGAAAGCAGGUCAUAGUGAUCCGGUGGUUCUGAAUGGAAGGGCCAUCGCUCAACGGAUAAAAGGUACUCCGGGGAUAACAGGCUGAUACCGCCCAAGAGUUCAUAUCGACGGCGGUGUUUGGCACCUCGAUGUCGGCUCAUCACAUCCUGGGGCUGAAGUAGGUCCCAAGGGUAUGGCUGUUCGCCAUUUAAAGUGGUACGCGAGCUGGGUUUAGAACGUCGUGAGACAGUUCGGUCCCUAUCUGCCGUGGGCGCUGGAGAACUGAGGGGGGCUGCUCCUAGUACGAGAGGACCGGAGUGGACGCAUCACUGGUGUUCGGGUUGUCAUGCCAAUGGCACUGCCCGGUAGCUAAAUGCGGAAGAGAUAAGUGCUGAAAGCAUCUAAGCACGAAACUUGCCCCGAGAUGAGUUCUCCCUGACUCCUUGAGAGUCCUGAAGGAACGUUGAAGACGACGACGUUGAUAGGCCGGGUGUGUAAGCGCAGCGAUGCGUUGAGCUAACCGGUACUAAUGAACCGUGAGGCUUAACCUU
Molecule: ribosomal RNA, 2758 nt
Filed under: Escherichia coli
Lineage: Bacteria; Pseudomonadati; Pseudomonadota; Gammaproteobacteria; Enterobacterales; Enterobacteriaceae
Description: partial 23S ribosomal RNA
Rfam family: Bacterial large subunit ribosomal RNA
Source: RNAcentral